UGGGAUUACAAGCCUGUGUCAGUAUGCCCU
RNAcentral lists this non-coding RNA (30 nucleotides) under Rattus norvegicus (Norway rat). The record is from RNAcentral. Lineage: Eukaryota; Metazoa; Chordata; Mammalia; Rodentia; Muridae.